GAUGAACGCUGGCGGCGUGCUUAACACAUGCAAGUCGAACGGUGAACACGGAGCUUGCUCUGUGGGAUCAGUGGCGAACGGGUGAGUAACACGUGAGCAACCUGCCCCUGACUCUGGGAUAAGCGCUGGAAACGGCGUCUAAUACUGGAUAUGUGACGUGACCGCAUGGUCUGCGUUUGGAAAGAUUUUUCGGUUGGGGAUGGGCUCGCGGCCUAUCAGCUUGUUGGUGAGGUAAUGGCUCACCAAGGCGUCGACGGGUAGCCGGCCUGAGGGGGUGACCGGCCACACUGGGACUGAGGCACGGCCCAGACUCCUACGGGAGGCAGCAGUGGGGAAUAUUGCACAAUGGGCGCAAGCCUGAUGCAACAACGCCGCGUGAGGGAUGACGGCCUUCGGGUUGUAAACCUCUUUUAGCAGGGAAGAAGCGAAAGUGACGGUACCUGCAGAAAAAGCGCCGGCUAACUACGUG
RNAcentral lists this ribosomal RNA (469 nucleotides) under uncultured bacterium. Its description in RNAcentral is "partial 16S ribosomal RNA". It matches the Rfam family "Bacterial small subunit ribosomal RNA", at positions 28 to 507 of the family's 1533-position model. The record is from RNAcentral.